AGAUUAGCCGGGACAUAUAAGAACUUCUAAUUCCUAUAGGGGGGUUCAACUCCUCCAUAAUCUU
This 64-nucleotide transfer RNA is filed under the name Eisenia nordenskioldi nordenskioldi. RNAcentral describes it as "tRNA-Ser". Lineage: Eukaryota; Metazoa; Annelida; Clitellata; Crassiclitellata; Lumbricidae. The record is from RNAcentral.